Molecule: ribosomal RNA, 200 nt
Filed under: uncultured Glomus
Lineage: Eukaryota; Fungi; Glomeromycota; Glomeromycetes; Glomerales; Glomeraceae
Description: partial small subunit ribosomal RNA
Rfam family: Eukaryotic small subunit ribosomal RNA
Source: RNAcentral
CCAAUAGCGUAUAUUAAAGUUGUUGCAGUUAAAAAGCUCGUAGUUGAAUUUCGAGAUCGGCUUACUGGUCGUGCUUUUGUACGUACUGGUAUAAUCGGUUUCUCCUUUCUGACGAACUUUAAUGCCAUUAAUUUGGUGUUUUAGGAAAUCAGGACUGUUACUUUGAAAAAAUUAGAGUGUUUAAAGCAGGCUCACGCUUG